GACGAACGCUGGCGGCGUGCUUAACACAUGCAAGUCGAACGCUGAAGCUCAGCUUUUGUUGGGUGGAUGAGUGGCGAACGGGUGAGUAACACGUGAGUAACCUGCCUCCUUCUUUGGGAUAACGCCCGGAAACGGGUGCUAAUACUGGAUAUUCACUGGUCUUCGCAUGGGGGGUGGUGGAAAGGGUGUUUCUGGGGGGGGAUGGGCUCGCGGCCUAUCAGCUUGUUGGUGGGGUGAUGGCCUACCAAGGCUUUGACGGGUAGCCGGCCUGAGAGGGUGACCGGUCACAUUGGGACUGAGAUACGGCCCAGAAUCCUACGGGAGGCAGAAGUGGGGAAUAUUGCACAAUGGGUGCAAGCCUGAUGCAGCGACGCCGCGUGAGGGAUGGAGGCCUUCGGGUUGUGAACCUCUUUCGCUAAUGGUCAAGCCGCAACAAUGGUUGUGGUGAGGGUAGUGGGUAAAGAAGCGCCGGCUAACUACGUG
Molecule: ribosomal RNA, 483 nt
Filed under: uncultured bacterium
Lineage: Bacteria
Description: partial 16S ribosomal RNA
Rfam family: Bacterial small subunit ribosomal RNA
Source: RNAcentral